RNAcentral lists this ribosomal RNA (253 nucleotides) under uncultured bacterium. Its description in RNAcentral is "partial 16S ribosomal RNA". It matches the Rfam family "Bacterial small subunit ribosomal RNA", at positions 524 to 776 of the family's 1533-position model. The record is from RNAcentral.
UACGUAGGGUGCAAGCGUUGUCCGGCAUUAUUGGGCGUAUUGAGCUCGUAGGCGGUCUGUCGCGUCGGAUGUGAAAACCCAGGGCUCAACCCUGGGCCUGCAUUCGAUACGGGCAGACUAGAGUUCGGUAGGGGAGACUGGAAUUCCUGGUGUAGCGGUGAAAUGCGCAGAUAUCAGGAGGAACACCGGUGGCGAAGGCGGGUCUCUGGGCCGAAACUGACGCUGAGGAGCGAAAGCGUGGGGAGCAAACAGG